RNAcentral lists this ribosomal RNA (763 nucleotides) under uncultured Streptococcus sp. RNAcentral's name for it is "bacterial SSU rRNA". It matches the Rfam family "Bacterial small subunit ribosomal RNA", at positions 28 to 776 of the family's 1533-position model. Lineage: Bacteria; Bacillati; Bacillota; Bacilli; Lactobacillales; Streptococcaceae. The record is from RNAcentral.
GACGAACGCUGGCGGCGUGCCUAAUACAUGCAAGUAGAACGCUGAAGGAGGAGCUUGCUUCUCUGGAUGAGUUGCGAACGGGUGAGUAACGCGUAGGUAACCUGCCUGGUAGCGGGGGAUAACUAUUGGAAACGAUAGCUAAUACCGCAUAAUAGUAGAUGUUGCAUGACAUUUGCUUAAAAGGUGCAAUUGCAUUACUACCAGAUGGACCUGCGUUGUAUUAGCUAGUUGGUGGGGUAACGGCUCACCAAGGCGACGAUACAUAGCCGACCUGAGAGGGUGAUCGGCCACACUGGGACUGAGACACGGCCCAGACUCCUACGGGAGGCAGCAGUAGGGAAUCUUCGGCAAUGGACGGAAGUCUGACCGAGCAACGCCGCGUGAGUGAAGAAGGUUUUCGGAUCGUAAAGCUCUGUUGUAAGAGAAGAACGAGUGUGAGAGUGGAAAGUUCACACUGUGACGGUAUCUUACCAGAAAGGGACGGCUAACUACGUGCCAGCAGCCGCGGUAAUACGUAGGUCCCGAGCGUUGUCCGGAUUUAUUGGGCGUAAAGCGAGCGCAGGCGGUUAGAUAAGUCUGAAGUUAAAGGCUGUGGCUUAACCAUAGUACGCUUUGGAAACUGUUUAACUUGAGUGCAAGAGGGGAGAGUGGAAUUCCAUGUGUAGCGGUGAAAUGCGUAGAUAUAUGGAGGAACACCGGUGGCGAAAGCGGCUCUCUGGCUUGUAACUGACGCUGAGGCUCGAAAGCGUGGGGAGCAAACAGG